RNAcentral lists this ribosomal RNA (460 nucleotides) under uncultured fungus. RNAcentral describes it as "SSU rRNA". It matches the Rfam family "Eukaryotic small subunit ribosomal RNA", at positions 624 to 1090 of the family's 1831-position model. Lineage: Eukaryota; Fungi. The record is from RNAcentral.
AAGCUCGUAGUUGAACCUUGGGCCUGGCUGGCCGGUCCGCCUCACCGCGUGUACUGGUCCGGCCGGGCCUUUCCCUCUGUGGAACCCCAUGCCCUUCACUGGGUGUGGCGGGGAAACAGGACUUUUACUUUGAAAAAAUUAGAGUGCUCCAGGCAGGCCUAUGCUCGAAUACAUUAGCAUGGAAUAAUAGAAUAGGACGUGUGGUUCUAUUUUGUUGGUUUCUAGGACCGCCGUAAUGAUUAAUAGGGACAGUCGGGGGCAUCAGUAUUCAAUUGUCAGAGGUGAAAUUCUUGGAUUUAUUGAAGACUAACUACUGCGAAAGCAUUUGCCAAGGAUGUUUUCAUUAAUCAGGAACGAAAGUUAGGGGAUCGAAGACGAUCAGAUACCGUCGUAGUCUUAACCAUAAACUAUGCCGACUAGGGAUCGGACGAUGUUAUUUUUUGACUCGUUCGGCACCUUA